Molecule: long non-coding RNA, 977 nt
Filed under: Homo sapiens (human)
Lineage: Eukaryota; Metazoa; Chordata; Mammalia; Primates; Hominidae
Description: HSALNT0346215
Source: RNAcentral
CUCCCUGCCCAGAGCUUCUCUUCACUGACUGUCUGGGACAAGCCAGCGCCGUGGAGCUGUCUCUUUUUCAUUUCUCAGCCUCACUGGCCAUUCCAGUCCUCAAGAAAUAUUUGCUUGAUGUGACUUCUUGGAACCAAAUGUUGGUACCCAACUGAAAGGGAUGGAGCCCUCCGAACUUGGAAGUUCCGCUGAGGAUGAGGGCGGCCGCCAUUUUGAAACGAACAGACUCCAAAAGCACGCUCCACUGGGCCUGCCCCUGCGAUCUUAAAACAGAUGUCCGUGAAAUGUGACCCAUGAAUAGCAGUUAUCUGGAGAGAGAGCUCUGAAGCUGAUGAAACCAUUAGAGCCACUGAAGGCACCUGGUAAAUGCGAUGCGGGGAGUACAGAAGAGAGAAUCAGAAACACACCGGCACUCUCAUUCCCAUGAGGCCACUUACAGUGGGUAAAACGUCGCUUGAGAAGAGCGGCAGCUCCAGCCUGAAUGAGAAGCACGUCCUCCUGGGAGUUACGUCAGCAGCCUGACCUUCCAUCUUCCUCCUCUAAAGAAGCGUCCCUGCCACCCUGAGCACGAAGCCCUCGGGUUCCUAAAGGCCGAGGCGCUUCUUCUCAUUUACUUCCCUUGAGGAAGAAAGACCAGCCCAUCCACCCUCAUUUCCCACCGAAGGGCAUCGCAAAUAAAGUUUGCCCACGCAACCAGGCCACCACCAUUAAUUUCUCUCUGCCCUGCUCUUACAUUCUCCUCAAGGUUUUCAGUCCCCUAGAGAGGCUCCCUUCCCUCUUUUCUUUCCUUCCUCCAGCCCCCCUUUUCACCUCCCUCCACCAUUGUUUGAGGUUAAGAAGCAUGCUACGGUGUUCUAUAAAUCACUUGGCAAGAGUAGACGACAAAAGCAAAAUAUAAUUCAGAUUAAAGUCAUCCUCCCGCUGAAAUGAUAGUUUCUUAAAUAAAUGGCGAUGCUGCCUAUCAAUCUUGCUGGCAA